GUUCCCGGCGGUGCGCGCGGCGCUGGGCUUCCGAGCUCGUCGGCGUGGGUGCAGCUGACGGUCGUUGGGCGGGCGCGCGGGGCGGCCGUUGGUCCGGCGCGCGGGGCGGCCGUUGGGCGGGGGAGGCGGACCGGGCGCUGGCGCAGGCGUGAGGCAGCGCGGCGCGCUCUUCUCCACAGGCGCGGGUGGGCCCGAGCGGAGCCGCCGCGGGCGGAGGAGCGGAGCGGGGCGAGCAGCAGGAGCCUAGAACCUGAAAGUACGGAGACGGAUCUGUGGCUGUUGAAGAUCCUCCCUCCAAAAAGUAUGUGACUGGACUGUUUCUUUGAUGCCCAGAUGCCUUCUUCAAGUGGUGGAGAACAUUGAAAAUAUCAAAAAGCAGGUGGUGUUUACUCAGUAGGGAGAAGAGUUAUAAUCUGCGAUUGCUUCAAAGAAGCAGAAUUCCCAGUGGCAACAGUCAGAAGAAUUUAUCCACGUACACAGAGCAAAAGAUAGCACAAGAGAUAACUUUUGCACAUCAGAAACUCUUUUCCCAACAAUUAAAAAUGGAAAGUAGUCUGAAAUCCUUUGCAUCUUUGGUAGAAGCCUCAGGAAAGAAGUUUGAAAAGCACAGAGUUCUCACUGUGGACACGUACCAUUAAACAAAGAAAAGAGCCUUUCCCUUGCCACCCACUCCCCUAAAGAACCUGAGUGAUGUCUGGUCCCUGUUGAAGUGGGAAAACACACUACUGGUAUCAGUUGAUUUACAGCUGUGUAUAGGAACACCAAUGUUUUAUGAAGGGUAGUAGCAUUCAUAACAGACCUUUGUUCAUCUCAGAAGAAAAUACGAUAAAGAGCCAGCUUCUGUCAUAUAGAAGAGAAAACACACAAGAUGAUUGUUAAAGGUGUUGCAACAUGGGAUAGUGCCACAGAAAGGCCCUGCACAGAUAAUUCAUCUCUGUUGCCUUGGAGUCAAUUAGGAUCAGGCCUGGCUAAAAUCAAAGAAAUUAAUAGUGUUGACUUCAGCAAAACUAUGGAUGACGCUCACUGCAAUCAAUGAAUGCUGUUGUCCAUCACUUUCGUGAGCACUGCUCUUAGUCUAAAAUUAUAAGUAUUAUCUCCCGGUAUUUUAACCUUGAAAAAAGGGUGCAUCCAUCAGAACUACUUUUUAAGAGCUAUCUUGAGAACUUUAGUAGAUAGCAGUAUUGCAUACUCAAGGAUCCUUGUAUUAGAAGUUUCAUAAAUAUUGUAUAUAUUGGGUGUGUAAUGUGCUGAAUUGGUUCCUCUGCAGCAGUGAGAUUCAUCAUGUCAAUGAUUAAUGGUUUAAGGCUCUGAAAGAAUAAACUGAAGCAUUAGGAAUGUAAUGCGCUCUAAAGGACUGCAGUUGUCUUACGUGGUACAGAGCUGCAGAAAAUGAGGGGUCUCAUGCUGUGCAGCUGUAACAAGAAUGGUUCCAGAAGAGCUGCUUCUUAAGAAGGAAAAUGUAGAUAUUCGUGUUUAAUUUUUUAUCAUAUUAUUUUCUUUAAACCUAUGCUAUUAAAAAACCAAAACCCCCAAAGACCUUCCAUCAACUGCCUGGACUAUAGUAUAACAGGUAGAGAGAAUAAUCUAGUGGCUAGACUGUGGGCCUG
Long non-coding RNA from Harpia harpyja (harpy eagle), 1607 nucleotides. RefSeq lists it as uncharacterized. Lineage: Eukaryota; Metazoa; Chordata; Aves; Accipitriformes; Accipitridae. The transcript has 7 exons. The record is from RefSeq and is a predicted model, not a curated record.